RNAcentral lists this transfer RNA (73 nucleotides) under Fidelibacterota bacterium. Its description in RNAcentral is "tRNA-Cys". It matches the Rfam family "tRNA". From Rfam's summary of the family: Transfer RNA (tRNA) molecules are approximately 80 nucleotides in length. Lineage: Bacteria; Pseudomonadati; Fidelibacterota. The record is from RNAcentral.
GGCGUCGUACCCAAGUGGCUAAGGGACCGGUUUGCAAAACCGUUAUUCGCCGGUUCGAAUCCGGCCGACGCCU